GUUUAAUUGUCCCAAUUAAUCUGUUUUAUCAAUACAGUAUAUUUGUUAUCCUUGGGGUUAAUAAGACUUUUGGGGGUGGGUAUUUUAAAAUGAAAUGUUAAAUCUUUGAGUAUAAAAUAACGCAUUUGAAUUGUCAGAUUUUCUCAAGGCAGAGUAUUUAAAUUUUUACCAUUCUGAGUAGGCAAAAUGUAUACUUUUAGUUUUAUUGUAGUAACCACAGUAGAGUUCUUAAAUCACUAGGGAAACCCACUCUAAACUUAAGCCUCCCAAAAGGAAAAGAUUAAUUUUCAUGUAAUAGAAAAAUCCAAUGUAAAGUUAGUCUCAUUUUCUAUGCGCCUCCACCGUAAUUUGGGAGAUUUUGUGGGGGCCUGGGGAGAAUGGGAAAGGAAUAUGAAAUGUUGAUAAAGUCUCAAAUCACUUCGUUGAAACUUGAGUUACAUUCUUUGGAUUCUUUUUCUCAAAUAAUAUCCACUCUAAUAAUUCUGACAUGUUAAGUCUACUUUUCUCUAAUUAUUGACUUUAUUCCCUGCACACAACCUUCUUCCUAUUCAGGAUCAUAACUGUGUAAGACAGGUUUAUGGCUUUGUGGUUAUAAGCUGCUGAGAUCAAGUGCUUAGGUACCUGGGAAUUAUCUGGAAUAUAUGGAACCAGUGUUGGAUCGCUUGGCUUGGCUAGUAAAGUGUUAGAACCUGGCUGGCAGGUUGCUGCCAGUAUUCCCUGGGGCCACUGGCUAUACUCAUUUACUUUGUGUACUAGCAACUCUUACUAGAGAAAAAAACAAUUACCACUCUUGUUUAUGCCUAUUCUUGAGUUGCUAAGAACAGGUCUGUUUGCAGGGAAGUAUGCUGAUGAUAUUUCCACCUAAAUACUUUUUUAAUGUAUUAGAAAAUGCUACUGCAUUUCAUCUCUUAAUAGUCCAAAUGAUCUAGAAAUGAGACACUGUUUUUAAGGUAUUAAUACAUAUAGUGUAU
RNAcentral lists this long non-coding RNA (971 nucleotides) under Bos taurus (domestic cattle). RNAcentral describes it as "long non-coding RNA NONBTAT001307". Lineage: Eukaryota; Metazoa; Chordata; Mammalia; Artiodactyla; Bovidae. The record is from RNAcentral.